This 483-nucleotide ribosomal RNA is filed under the name uncultured bacterium. RNAcentral's name for it is "partial 16S ribosomal RNA". It matches the Rfam family "Bacterial small subunit ribosomal RNA", at positions 30 to 507 of the family's 1533-position model. The record is from RNAcentral.
UUGCACGCUGGCGGCAGGCCUCACCCCUGCCAGUCGAGCGGAUGAAGGGAGCUUGCUCCUGGAUUCAGCGGCGGACGGGUGGGUAAUGCCUAGGAAUCUGCCUGGUAGUGGGGGAUAACGUCCGGAAACGGGCGCUAAUACCGCAUACGUCCUGAGGGAGAAAGUGGGGGAUCUUCGGACCUCACGCUAUCAGAUGAGCCUAGGUCGGAUUAGCUAGUUGGUGGGGUAAAGGCCUACCAAGGCGACGAUCCGUAACUGGUCUGAGAGGAUGAUCAGUCACACUGGAACUGAGACACGGUCCAGACUCCUACGGGAGGCAGCAGUGGGGAAUAUUGGACAAUGGGCGAAAGCCUGAUCCAGCCAUGCCGCGUGUGUGAAGAAGGUCUUCGGAUUGUAAAGCACUUUAAGUUGGGAGGAAGGGCAGUAAGUUAAUACCUUGCUGUUUUGACGUUACCAACAGAAUAAGCACCGGCUAACUUCGUG